GAUCAUUAUAGAGUUUCUACUCUUCAACCCCUGUGAACUUACCUAUUAUCCUCCGGCCGGGUCAGGCGCCCGCCGGGGACCAAACAAACUGUAUUUGUCUCCUGUGUACCUCAGAAUUAGGCGUAAAGCCGAAAUGUAACAACUUUUGACAAUGGAUCUCUUGGCACUGGCAUCGAUGAAGAACGCAGCGAAAUGCGAUAAGUAAUGUGAAUUGCAGAGCACAGUGAAUCAUCGAAUCUUUGAACGCACAUGGCGCCCGCUGGUAAUCCGGCGGGCAUGCCUGUCCGAGCGUCAUUUCAACCCUCAGAACCCCUCUCUCGGGAGGGCGUUACUGGUGUUGGGGAUCGAGCGCCCCCCGCGGCGCCCGUCCCUUAAAUCUAUUGGCGGCUCCGGAGUCUGUCUCCCCUGCGUAGUAUUGCAUCUCGCUUUGGUGACGUCCCCGGGCUGCUGUGGCUCUGCCACGAAACCCCCACUAGGUUGACCUCGGAUCAGG
RNAcentral lists this unclassified non-coding RNA (493 nucleotides) under Parasarocladium breve. RNAcentral describes it as "sequence contains 18S rRNA gene, ITS1, 5.8S rRNA gene, ITS2, 28S rRNA gene". The stretch from base 141 to 294 matches the Rfam family "5.8S ribosomal RNA". The record is from RNAcentral. Lineage: Eukaryota; Fungi; Ascomycota; Sordariomycetes; Hypocreales; Sarocladiaceae.